GUUUCAGGUGGAAUGAAGUUUGCUAAUCAGCUGACCUUAAACGAAGGAGAUUAUGCUGGAUUAGCCAGGUGGGCUUAAUAUAGAUGCCAGGCUCCUGAGAAGGGGAAGAAGAAGGCAGAAGAGAGUCAGAGAGAUGGCAAUGGGAAGAAAUGCCCUGCUGUUGGAUGGCUUUGAGGUUGGAGGAAGGGCCCAGGAAGCAAGGCAGGUGGGCAGCUUCUAGAAGCCAGAAAGGACAAGGAAGUGGAUCCUUCUCAAGAGCCUCCAGAAAGGCAGGCUGCUCUGUCGACACCUUGACUUCAGCCCCGUGAGACCCAUCUCAGACUUCUGAACGACAGCACUGUGAGGACCAUUUGAGCGGCUGUGUUGAGAGGAGACUCAAGAAAGCCUUCUAACCUCCAUCUUUGAUAGUGGAGGUGUCCACCAGGAGCCGCUGGCACCCUUUGUCAGCGAGCUAAACACUCUCCUGGCCUUGGAGUCACAGAAGUUGAAGGAGGAGAUUCAAGGAGGCAGAGUUGCUGCAGGCCAACAAGGUGGAGCUUAAUGAGUCUUCUCCUGACUAAGCCUGACUAAUUUGUGAGAAUUUUGAAUAAACCUGACUCUUUCAAUGGCAAUUCUGAGGACCCAGUUGGAUAGAACACGUCUUCAGGCUUAGAUUGGAAACUGGGUGUGUCUAAUAUUCUACAAAUACACUUGUAAUAAAUUAAUGGUGGCUUCCGUGAAGCGGUUCCUCACGGUCUACUCCACAAAGCUACAGAGAACAGAGUUGCAGUUAAUGCAAACUGUGAAGGAGUCCAUCCAAAAAGGCCUCCCAUCCAUCUGGAGCUAAUGAUGUUUCCAGCACUCAGCGAGGCUCCUGGGAACCAAACAACCCUGUUGUCAGCCCACCUGGUCUAGCAUUUCCAGGAGCAGCUGGCUUGUUCCAGAGAGGUCUAAGUCCUCCAAUCCAUCAGAGACGCCCCGGUCUGGUUCUGUGGAAAUUUCUAGGCUAGUUAUUUCCUCCAUGACUCAUCCAUGUGUUUCAUCCAAACUUAAAAAUGCUCCUCCUGUCACCCUCCUCUCCAAAGUCCCAACCCCUGUGGCUCUGUGCUUUCUUCUCCCUGAACAGAUGUAAUUUCCACCGUAUUUCUUAGAACCUAUACUUAAUUGCACACAACAUCACAUACGCCCUUAGCCUAGUCACAGAUCCUUCAACCAUUUUCUGGCUCUCACUGAAACCUUCUCUCUCAAGUGGACACUCUCAUUUGGGUUGGAGUCCUUGCUCCCAAUGUAACUUGUAGAUCUUUACUCCUCCGCAGUUCUCCUCGCUCAUUCCCCUCUUUCCGGGAGCCCCUGGGCUCACUGUCAAUCUUUUCAUCUCAGGUGUAUAAAUCCACCCUUCAUCUUAGGCUCUUAACUCCUUUUCCUCCUCAACAGACCAGGAACCUGGUAUCACCUACCAUCCAAAUAUACCCCAAAGCUCACCACUUCUUUCUGCCUCCACUGCCUCCACCUAGGCUGCAUUCCAGGCCACCACAGUCUUUUACCUGUGCUGCUAUAACCUUGUAAAUCAGCUUUCUGAUUCUCCUUUUGCCCCCAUAGUCAGUUUUCCAUUCAGCUGCCAGAGGAAUUUCCCUAAAAUGUAUCAUGUCAUGUCAUGCCUCUGCUCAGAACCCUUUAGGGGCUUUCCAUCCCACUGAGACUGAAAUCCAAAGCCCUCUGGGGUCAACCCCUGCCCAUCUCUCUGCCUCAACUCCUAUCACAUCCCUCUUGUUCAGGCCGCCCCCGCCAUACUGGAAUCCUUGGGCCCCACCAAGCUCAUUCUCUCCUCACAGUCUCUUCCUGGAGAGCUCCUUUUGUGGACAUCCACAUGGCUUUCUCUCCACUCCAUUCAGCUCCCUGCUUGAAUGGAAUGCCCCGGAGAGCCCUCCCUGAUCACUUUAUCCAGAAUAGUCCCUUCCUCUCCUUGCCCCCAAUAUCACUCUCAACUUGAAGCUGUGCACACCUUAAAACCACAGUUAUAAUGUCCAGGUGUGUUUGUU
Molecule: long non-coding RNA, 2018 nt
Filed under: Equus asinus (donkey)
Lineage: Eukaryota; Metazoa; Chordata; Mammalia; Perissodactyla; Equidae
Description: lncRNA (ENSEASG00005034357.1)
Source: RNAcentral